RNAcentral lists this ribosomal RNA (252 nucleotides) under uncultured bacterium. RNAcentral describes it as "partial 16S ribosomal RNA". It matches the Rfam family "Bacterial small subunit ribosomal RNA", at positions 524 to 775 of the family's 1533-position model. The record is from RNAcentral.
GACGAACCGUGCGAACGUUGUUCGGAUUCACUGGGCUUAAAGGGCGCGUAGGCGGGCUCGCCAGUCAGGGGUGAAAUCCUCCGGCUUAACCGGAGAACAGCCUUUGAUACUGCGAGCCUCGAGGAAGGUAGGGGCAUGUGGAACUUCCGGUGGAGCGGUGAAAUGCGUAGAUAUCGGAAGGAACGCCGGUGGCGAAAGCGACGUGCUGGACCUUUACUGACGCUGAGGCGCGAAAGCCAGGGGAGCAAACGG